RNAcentral lists this ribosomal RNA (207 nucleotides) under uncultured bacterium. Its description in RNAcentral is "partial 16S ribosomal RNA". It matches the Rfam family "Bacterial small subunit ribosomal RNA", at positions 328 to 540 of the family's 1533-position model. The record is from RNAcentral.
ACGCUCGACACCUACGGGAGCAGCAGUGGGGAAUAUUGCACAAUGGGGGAAACCCUGAUGCAGCGACGCCGCGUGAGCGAAGAAGUAUUUCGGUAUGUAAAGCUCUAUCAGCAGGGAAGAAAAUGACGGUACCUGACUAAGAAGCCCCGGCUAACUACGUGCCAGCACGCCGGCGGUAAUCUGACGGCCGGGUCGUCGGACGAAGGC